GCAAAUGGACAGAGCCGCGCAUCAAUUGAUGAUACAAGAAAGAAAUAUGAAGCAAGCGCACAACCAACAACCACAAGUUGGCGACAUCCUAGCUCGCCAGUACCACCCCUUCCACCAGCCGGCCGCGAUGCCGCCAGCAUUCAAGCGGUUAUAGCAUC
Papilio machaon (common yellow swallowtail) is the source of this 158-nucleotide long non-coding RNA. RefSeq lists it as uncharacterized. The transcript has 3 exons. NCBI's taxonomy places the organism in Eukaryota, Metazoa, Arthropoda, Insecta, Lepidoptera, Papilionidae. The record is from RefSeq and is a predicted model, not a curated record.